CAACAGUUGUCUUUUACCGGAUUCAGGAUCAAGAAUCAGGUUGUCUACGCCGUUGCGUUUUACUAGUAACUUGGUCGGGAAGCCCCAUUUAUACUGUACUUCCGCCGCUCUCAAUGCCGCUGUGAUGUGGGUAAACGAUCGCCUUUUUAUCAUAGUCGCAGUGGAGAGGUCAAUGAAUAGCUUGAUUUGGGAAAAUUGACCUGGGAGCUGACCUUGGCGUCUAGCCGCUUGCAUUAUUCGAUCUUUCGUUGUGAAAUAGUGUAUUCGUGUUAUGACGUCUCUCGGUACUGUAGUCGGUAAGUGCUUGGGUUUUGGGAGGCGGUGUGUGCGGUCAAGCAGCAACUCAGUUUCCUUCAAUGCUGGAACGUAUGCUGUAAAUAUUUC
This is a non-coding RNA of Pelobates cultripes (western spadefoot toad), 384 nucleotides long. The record is from the annotation of a GenBank genome assembly. NCBI's taxonomy places the organism in Eukaryota, Metazoa, Chordata, Amphibia, Anura, Pelobatidae.